RNAcentral lists this ribosomal RNA (450 nucleotides) under uncultured bacterium. RNAcentral describes it as "partial 16S ribosomal RNA". It matches the Rfam family "Bacterial small subunit ribosomal RNA", at positions 354 to 796 of the family's 1533-position model. The record is from RNAcentral.
GUGGGGAAUUUUUGACAAUGGGCGCAAGCCUGAUCCAGCAAUGCCGCGUGCAGGAAGAAGGCCUUCGGGUUGUAAACUGCUUUUGUACGGAACGAAACGGUCCUGGCUAAUAUCCGGGGCUAAUGACGGUACCGUAAGAAUAAGCACCGGCUAACUACGUGCCAGCAGCCGCGGUAAUACGUAGGGUGCGAGCGUUAAUCGGAAUUACUGGGCGUAAAGCGUGCGCAGGCGGUGCUGUAAGACAGGCGUGAAAUCCCCGGGCUCAACCUGGGAAUUGCGCUUGUGACUGCAGUGCUGGAGUGCGGCAGAGGGGGAUGGAAUUCCGCGUGUAGCAGUGAAAUGCGUAGAUAUGCGGAGGAACACCGAUGGCGAAGGCAAUCCCCUGGGCCUGCACUGACGCUCAUGCACGAAAGCGUGGGGAGCAAACAGGAUUAGAUACCCGGGUAGUCC